GUCCAAAGGUUUUGAAACUUCUGCUUUCCUUAGGACCAGGUCUCCUAGAUGGAAGACCUUUGGCUUAACUUUUGCAUUAUAAUAUUGGGCUAUUCUUUGCCGAUAUGCUGUCAUUCGAACUUAAGCUUGCUAUCGGACUUUUGGAAGUAAGUCUAAAUUGACUCUCCGACAUUCUGAAUUGCUCGACUCGUUGUAUUUUUUCACUCUUGCUGAUGGUAAUCCGAUCUCAAGCGGGAUUAUCGCUUCCGUUCUAUAGGCCAAGUUGAAUGGUGAUUCUCCUGUCGAUAUGUGAGAAGUUGCUCGGUAUGCCCAUAAGAUCGGAUAUAGUUCUUCCCCCCAGAAGCCUUUAGCUUCAUUCAGCCUGGUCUUAAGAUCACGUAGGAUUGUUCAGUUUGUUACUUCUAUCUCACCAUUAGAUUGUGGAUGAUCGACUGAUGUGAGUUUGUGCGUAACAUA
RNAcentral lists this long non-coding RNA (456 nucleotides) under Elaeis guineensis (African oil palm). RNAcentral's name for it is "long non-coding RNA (EGUI_LNC023025)". The record is from RNAcentral. Lineage: Eukaryota; Viridiplantae; Streptophyta; Magnoliopsida; Arecales; Arecaceae.